AAAGAGAGGGAACAGGGUGAUGGAGAGUACAAAAGUUCAGCUACAAGGAACAAACGCCGCGAUGUUGUGUGCGGCUGGGUGCAACGCGGUGUGUACAGGGUGACACGAAUCAACAUCGAUUCUCGCCGUGAUGCCGUAACUCGCCGCGCUUCACCGGCGUGGAUACCUGUUAUUUGGGCACUGUAUACGAUUUUAAAUAACGUCGAGGUAUCUCAACAUGCGUAUCUCGAACCACGUUUCACACGUUCCGCACCGCUGUCUCACGUAGAUAUCUGUUUACCGUGAUGGAUGAGCCGCCUGAAAAAUUACCGUGCAACACGCUAACGGCCAAAGAAUUGUUGUGCAGCAAGGGUAUCAAUAAUUGCAUACUGGAGGAAUGGGAGAGAGCCUUGAACACUUUGCCCAGAAACGGAAGGAAGCACUUCGAGCCGGACAAUUCUUGGCUGCAGAAUGUCCAGAUUGAGAAAGGACUGAAAAAUCGUAGGGACCUAUUAAAUAUCGAGAGAGUCGAGCGGGUCUCGGAAUUGGCUACUGCGGAAUGGCUGCCGGCCCAGAAGAAGGCUCUUGUUACUAAAAGAUCCGGCCAAGACUGGAGCAACUUCGGUCAGGAGAGAAACGGUUCCUUAUAUUUGCUACCAGAGGAAGCGUUGUUUCUCAUGGAAACAAAUUGUCUCGAACUCAUUUGGAACGGGUUGUCAUGCUCGAUCCAGCAAGCAUACGAAAUCUUGAUCGACGACUCGACAUGUACCCUGGAAGAAUAUAGAGUUUAUAGUCAAUUAACACGCUAUGGCUACCGUAUACAGCGGUACUUUUACGAAGAGUCAGAUAAGUGCAAUAGAACGGAUGAACUUACCAUUAAACGGAAAAUUAUCGUCGAUCCUGAAAAUGGACUGAGAAUGUCCGACAACCAACCGCAGAAUAAGCAGAGCGCGAGGAAGUCAGCUGCGGCGAAGGAUAUUCCGGAGACGUCAAGUAAACCUUUCGUUAGUCUUGACCAGCAAGAAAAGGACCACGAAAAGACAACCGUACAAGAAUCCGUGAAGCAAACAGUACGUAAUCUGGUAGACCAGAUUCUGUGUGAUAUAGAAAGUCAGGAAAAUAAAAAUAAACCAGCCACCUCUGGAGCAGACGAAAACAAUACGGCGGAAAAUGAUACAAACAACGAGGAUAGAAAUCGCAAUUCCAAGCCAGAAAUCAUUUCCGACGAGACUCUGUUGGGCAAUAUUAAAAUUCUCCGAGACACAUCGUGCAAGGUAUCGAAGUGGCCGGGUGCUCGCAUUCAGCGUAAUGUUAAGCAGCUGCCUAAGAGGAAUGACAAAGUAUCCCCUCCGGAAAUAUCUAUAAUCGAUUCCAAUGUCACGGGUGAAAAUCCGCGAUGUACAGAUAAACGCAAGUCAUUGGCACAAAUCGACGACUCACAUGCGAAAAAGUCCAAGCACGAGGUGAUUGAGUUGUCCGAUGAUGAGAUUCAGGAAUUGCCGCAGUGUAUGACAAGAAUGGAGAUGUUGAAUCUACUACCAAAUAUUGCCUUCCAGUCGGAAAUCAGCGAGAAAAUUUCCAGGCGAUAUAUACCGCACAACAUAAGGCCUCAGAGGAGCACAUAUCAAUACAAUCGGACGAUGAUUUUGAACAUGCAGGAGAACGACAAGCAAGCGCGACAGAAUUGCAAAGAUAGCAGGACUAACGGGAGGCACCGCGCGUCCCACUCUAGGAGCCCACUUGCCGUUAAUAACAGAAGCGCUCUCUUUCAAAGUCAACGUCCGCUCCUGCGCACUCCGUCGCGAUCGUUUUAUCCUGUAGACCAAAUGCACGGGACGAACAUUAACUUGCCUUACGCGUACAGAUUUCCGUUCAACUACCUGCCGGACAUUUAUCUGCAGAAUAGGGUCACGCAGAAUGUAUUUCACAAUUUAUUCGUCGCCUUCGGGAACCACGGGAACGCUGUUCAGCAAAGGAGCCUCACCAUACAGAUGAACAAUUUCACGAUGCCGAUCCUGGAGGGCUACCGAACGAGACACUUCUUCACGGAGAACCAACUCCGGCACGGUUUCUAUCAGAAUGUUUCGUGGCAGCAAAGAUUUUGUCAGCGCAGAAUGCUGGAGAACGCGCCGGUGCAUGGCAAUGUGCAUUCCGUUGCAAGACGACGACACGAUGACGGCAACAGUCUAGUCGGUCACGAGAUCGUUAAUCGGCCUUCCUUUACGACGCGUCUAGGAGCUAACUCGUGGACGGAAUUGAAGAGAAGAUGGUCUGAAGAAAAAACCAUCACAAUCGACGACGAGGAUUAUAAGAACAAGAGUGAGAGCGAGGAAGAUUGCACUGAAGUUCAAGUUGUGAAGCUUCUCAAUCCUUUGGUCAGUCCGAGAAACGUAUCCUCGAUGACAGAAAUCUUCAGUAGGCUCGCUAUAAUAAAAUCAGCGCCGGAAAGGAUCGUCAGAAGGAAAAAGAGCAAGUACAAGAUAUCGUACAACGUGUAUUCUUGUACGCAUCAUUACAGAAAGACGAAUCCCGGUCAACCAUUGUAUAGCCUGGUAGUGAUGAGGAAAGAAGACUCGAUCAUCCAACCUGUUGAGUUGAAUCGCCUGCAACAGGACGCGAAAGGUUCCCAGAUAGUAUUAGCAUACGUGUCAAUGUCAAUAUCGUACAUUCAGCCGGGUAUUAUAACGAUGCCAAACAUAAUUUAACGUUUUAUUCGAAACACUUAAUUGGUUGGAAACUGUUUUGAAGCGAGCGAUGCGUCUAUGUCAAAGAUUAUCCUGAAAGAACUGGCCAAACCGUGUUGGGAGGGACUUGGAUAGGCUUGACUAUUAAGACCUACACAUAAGGACAAUAAAACUAUUAUAUAUACAUAUAUAUAUCACAUAUGUAUACACACGUAUGACACUAUUGUGUGCAUUUUCUAGAAUCUAGAUGACGAAGCUUGAGUAUAUGUGUUGGACUUCUACUUGCUCUGGGACAAUGCUUUGAGUUUUUCAACAAUCGAGAGCGGUCACAAUGAGUGUUGGUUUCCCGAUGGAAGUAUUUUGUAAAGUACUGUGAAAUUGAUCAAAAAUUGAGAUAAAUGUUAUUGACAAAUUACUGAAUGUAUGUAAAAUGAAUUAUAAUUUUUCUUAAAUAAAGUUCAAAGUUAUAUUAUGAGAUAUAAGGAAUAAAGUACAUUGUGCACAAGUAUACUAUUGAAGU
This is an RNA transcript of Vollenhovia emeryi, 3183 nucleotides long. RefSeq lists it as uncharacterized. The transcript is spliced from 6 exons. Lineage: Eukaryota; Metazoa; Arthropoda; Insecta; Hymenoptera; Formicidae. The record is from RefSeq and is a predicted model, not a curated record.